This is a long non-coding RNA of Piliocolobus tephrosceles (Ugandan red Colobus), 1904 nucleotides long. RefSeq lists it as uncharacterized. The record is from RefSeq and is a predicted model, not a curated record. The transcript is spliced from 3 exons. NCBI's taxonomy places the organism in Eukaryota, Metazoa, Chordata, Mammalia, Primates, Cercopithecidae.
ACUGCACUCCAGCCUAAGCAACAGAGCCAGACCCCGUCCCCCCGCCCCCCCCCCCAAAAAAAAGAAAAUUGAAGCAGCCCAGCAUGGGGUUGGGACCAAUGAUGGCAAGGGGAACCAUGGACAGAGUUGGGUUCCUGUGGGGGUGGAGGAAGAUUCCAGGGAACCCUGUGAGAGUUCCUUGGGCCUAAAUGGGGGCUGGAAAGUUGGAGCCCCAGUGAACUGGGAUGUCGAGCAACCCCUGCCAUGCUGGGAAAUGUCAGACCUUAGAUGAGUGGGGAUGUGAAUGCCUCUGCCGGGGCCUGGGUUUGUCAAAAGGCUUUAGGGACUGAUCCCCACCCCUGCUGUUGAAGGCAGGACACCACUGCCUCAAGAGAGGGGUACAUGCCCUAUGGGGCAGGUAGGAGGACUGCAGAGAAACAUGACACUUUAUAAGCAGCUUGGCCUCACCCCACAAUAUACAGAUGGGGAAGGGGCUUGAACCCAUGCCUGUUGGUUGGCUGGGUCUUCCUCACACCAGGCUAACAUCAUGACAAGCUACCGACUUCAAGGUAGGUGAUAACGGGAACUCUGUGGCCCCAUAAAGCCCUUCCAGUCACCUGUCACCUAGGUUAGGCCAGGUGGUGGGAGGUGAUAUUACUUGGCUGCCCCGCUGGGGACUGAGCAUGAUGUGGAAGGGAGGGAGCAAACUCCAGAGGAGGGGUGGCCAGCCAAGGCAGGCUCCAUGGUCAGCCGAGCCAUCGGGCAGAGAAGGAGGCAGGAGGCAGGUGGUUCGUUAUUUGCAGCUGUGGACUUUGCUUCUCACAAAUCCCAGCAGGAGGACUUCCCUACGCUAGGCUCAGGACAGGCUGUCAUCGGGAGAGGAGCUGGAAGGACCCUGGGUCAAGUGAACAUUCUCCUUGCUGCACUAGAGCUGCAGAAUGGCGUUGGAACAAGCACAGACCCACAGAUCUGGGCUUGAACCCUGGCUCCAGUGCCUCCUCAUUUGUUUACUCCGUCUUUUAUUCAUUCAGCUGGCACCCAUUCAUUGAGCACUUCUGUGUACAGCCGUGUUCAGGGUGCUGGUGAUGCUGAUGAAAGGGGGACAGAUAAUGUUUCUUGUCCUCGUCGAUGUUCCAGGAGGCACAAUCUCUUGUUGGACAACUGUUUGUGAGAGGAUAUAACUGUGGAAGUGAUAUUUAAGCUCUAGAAUGAUAAGUGUGAUGCAGGGGCUGGGGUGGUGAGAGGUUGAAGAAAGCACUUCAGGCAGCAGCCACAGCCUGGGCAAAGACCCUGAGGCCUGAGGGACCAGGGAGCUUAUGAGGAAGUUGGUGGAGUUAGAGCGGUUCUCAUGAGUGAGAGUGUAGGACCAGAGGGGUGGGCCUGGGUUAUGUCUGUGGCUGUGGGCCAGUUAUUUCACCUCUGUGCCUGCCUAUCCUCAUCUCUAAAAUGGGAAUACGAAUCUUUCCGGGUGGCUCUGAAGAUUUAGUGUGGCAUCAUAGGUAACUGUUGCAGGCACCCAGGUGUUGACUGCAUGUCCAUUGUUGUUAUAGUUGGUUGAAUCUGUCCCAUUAAUUCUCCUUCCCCAGGCAAGACUCGUGGCUGUGACCCAUGGGCCUCUGAGGAGGCGUUGUAAGUCCGCCCAGCUCCCCACUUGCUGUGCUCCCACUCAAUGCGAAGGGAACCAGGGCCAAGACUUUGUCCAGCCGUCAGCCACGGCCUCUCUACAGCACCAAGAUGGAAGUCAAAGGUCAGCUGAUCAGCUCUCCUACCUUCAAUGCCCCAGCUGCCCUGUUCGGAGAGGCUGCCCCCCAGGUGAAGUCAGAGCGUCUGCGGGGGCUGCUUGACCGGCAGCGGACCCUGCAGGAGGCCCUGAGCCUGAAACUUCAGGAGCUCCGCAAAGUGUGUCUCCAGGAGGCGGUGAGGGC